AAUCAAGAAACUUUGAGUGGGUCAGACCAGAGGAUAUAUUAAAAGAAGAUACACCACUCUCCUCCAUGGUAUUUCAGAAUUUCACACAUCCUGUUGUGAAGCCUAUCUUAGACAGGAGGUAUUUUCUUCAAAAGAAUACAGUGGGGACAACAGAAGAAAGGAUAUGCAAAUCAG
Marmota monax (woodchuck) is the source of this 174-nucleotide long non-coding RNA. RefSeq lists it as uncharacterized. Lineage: Eukaryota; Metazoa; Chordata; Mammalia; Rodentia; Sciuridae. The record is from RefSeq and is a predicted model, not a curated record. The transcript has 3 exons.